Molecule: long non-coding RNA, 97 nt
Filed under: Fukomys damarensis (Damara mole-rat)
Lineage: Eukaryota; Metazoa; Chordata; Mammalia; Rodentia; Bathyergidae
Description: lncRNA (ENSFDAG00000025205.1)
Source: RNAcentral
AGAAAACUGAAACAUAAAAAUAAUAAGAUAUCCUCAAUGGAUUUAUCCAAAGGGUCAUUAAGUCUGAUCUAAAGAAUGAUCUGUAUUGGAAAUGAGG